This 274-nucleotide unclassified non-coding RNA is filed under the name fungal sp. RNAcentral's name for it is "partial internal transcribed spacer region". The stretch from base 1 to 46 matches the Rfam family "Eukaryotic small subunit ribosomal RNA", at positions 1786 to 1831 of the family's 1831-position model. Lineage: Eukaryota; Fungi. The record is from RNAcentral.
AAGUCGUAACAAGGUUUCCGUAGGUGAACCUGCGGAAGGAUCAUUACAUGAUAUAUAUAUAUGAAUGUGAUGCGGUUAAUUCCGCAUCACAUUACAUUAUCUCCACCCUUGUGAACUGUAAUUGACACCUUUGGUGUGUGUGUGUGUGUGGCCGUAAUAAGCCCACUCCCCCCGCCAGACGGUACAAAACACCAAAAAAUCAUUUCAACACAUCUAGACUUAAAGAAAAUCAUUAAUUGAAAUACAACUUUUAACAAUGGAUCUCUUGGCUCUU